This 168-nucleotide small RNA is filed under the name Streptomyces nodosus. RNAcentral's name for it is "c-di-AMP sequence". It matches the Rfam family "c-di-AMP riboswitch aptamer (ydaO/yuaA leader)". From Rfam's summary of the family: This family represents a conserved RNA structure found upstream of the ydaO and yuaA genes in Bacillus subtilis and related genes in other bacteria. Lineage: Bacteria; Bacillati; Actinomycetota; Actinomycetes; Kitasatosporales; Streptomycetaceae. The record is from Rfam by way of RNAcentral.
UCGCGCCAUGCGCCGCAGGCAGGAGCGGGGGACCCAAGGUAAGUGCCGCGCCCGGGAGUUGACCGGGAACGGCUUGGGGUGGAGCCGCGCGUCCAGGGGACGCGCGGCCGGGCAACUCAACCGGCCCGAACCCGACAGCUCACCUCGCAGGCGUCGGUGAGGGGAUCG